CAUGUAUCUCCAGCCAGUUAGAAUGUUCCAGAAUUUCCCCAUCGGAAUUAAGUGAUUCCUUUCCUUUCUGUCUGUGAGGCUGGGAAGGGAGUGCCUUCCCUCGUCCCCUAUCCUGGCUGUUAGAUGGAGCUCCUGAUGAGCCUGCUGGGCCAUCCUCCGCCCAUGACAAGCCAUCACUGUGGGGGCCUGUGACCCUCUCUGGGCCUCUGGAGGAACCUUCUAGUGCGGUUCCUGAGGAAACGUGACUGCAUGGGGACCCAGAUACAGAGGGAAAGACUCUGUGCAAGCUGCAUAUGGUGCCCAUUCCUGGGCAGGACCACUGAGGCCAUGAUGGGAACCCUGCCAGUAUUAUGCACUGCUGAAUUCCUGGGUCCUAGGACAACAGGCCACAGCUGUGAAACUGAAACAGAUACAGAACCUCAGAGGUCACAACUUUGUUCCUACGGAUGAGGAAACUGAGGCCCAAGGAGGAAGAUGGGUGGUCCAAGGUGAUACUGUGGUGUGUGGGCAUUGAGGGCAGUGCAGAUCUCCCCAACCUUGUCCCAGGGUGCCCAGCACCGCAGGGCAUUGUCCUCCUGUGUCUGUCAGACUCUUGCAUAAACUACUGAGCCUCAUGGA
Long non-coding RNA from Suricata suricatta (meerkat), 618 nucleotides. RefSeq lists it as uncharacterized. The record is from RefSeq and is a predicted model, not a curated record. Lineage: Eukaryota; Metazoa; Chordata; Mammalia; Carnivora; Herpestidae. The transcript is spliced from 4 exons.